This 378-nucleotide ribosomal RNA is filed under the name uncultured archaeon. Its description in RNAcentral is "bacterial SSU rRNA". It matches the Rfam family "Archaeal small subunit ribosomal RNA", at positions 691 to 1068 of the family's 1478-position model. The record is from RNAcentral.
CCGACGGUGAGGGAUGAAAGCUGGGGGAGCAAACCGGAUUAGAUACCCGGGUAGUCCCAGCCGUAAACGAUGUGCGUUAGGUGUAUCGGUGACCACGAGUCACCGAGGUGCCGAAGAGAAAUCGUGAAACGUACCGCCUGGGAAGUACGGUCGCAAGGCUGAAACUUAAAGGAAUUGGCGGGGGAGCACCACAACAGGUGGAGCCUGCGGUUUAAUCGGACUCAACGCCGGGAAACUCACCAGAUAAGACAGCUGAAUGAUAGUCGGGCUGAAGACUCUACUUGACUAGCUGAGAGGAGGUGCAUGGCCGUCGUCAGUUCGUACUGUGAAGCAUCCUGUUAAGUCAGGCAACGAGCGAGACCCACGCCAACAGUUGCU